Molecule: ribosomal RNA, 240 nt
Filed under: uncultured Rhodococcus sp.
Lineage: Bacteria; Bacillati; Actinomycetota; Actinomycetes; Mycobacteriales; Nocardiaceae
Description: partial 16S ribosomal RNA
Rfam family: Bacterial small subunit ribosomal RNA
Source: RNAcentral
GACGAACGCUGGCGGCGUGCUUAACACAUGCAAGUCGAGCGGUAAGGCCUUUCGGGGUACACGAGCGGCGAACGGGUGAGUAACACGUGGGUGAUCUGCCCUGCACUCUGGGAUAAGCCCGGGAAACUGGGUCUAAUACCGGAUAUGACUACAGCAUGCAUGUGUUGUGGUGGAAAGAUUUAUCGGUGCAGGAUGGGCCCGCGGCCUAUCAGCUUGUUGGUGGGGUAAUGGCCUACCAAG